GCCGGGCGUGGUGGCAUGUGCCUGUAGUCCCAGCUACUCGGGAGGCUGAGGUUGGAGGAUUGCUUGAGUCCAGGAGUUCUGGGCUGUAGUGCGCUAUGCUGAUCAGGUGUCUGCACUACGUUUCGUAUCAAUAUGGUGACCUCCCAGGAUCAAAAGACCACCAGGUUGCCUAAGGAGCAGUGAACCAGCCCAGCUUGGAAACGGAGCAGGCCAAAACUCCUGUGCUGAUAAGUAGUGGGAUCACGCCUGUGAAUAGGCACUGCACUUCAACCUGGGCAACAUAGCAAAACCCUGCCUCUA
Molecule: unclassified non-coding RNA, 300 nt
Organism: Callithrix jacchus (white-tufted-ear marmoset)
Lineage: Eukaryota; Metazoa; Chordata; Mammalia; Primates; Cebidae
Rfam family: Metazoan signal recognition particle RNA
About the family: The signal recognition particle (SRP) is a universally conserved ribonucleoprotein. It is involved in the co-translational targeting of proteins to membranes.
Source: Ensembl